RNAcentral lists this ribosomal RNA (395 nucleotides) under uncultured bacterium. Its description in RNAcentral is "bacterial SSU rRNA". It matches the Rfam family "Bacterial small subunit ribosomal RNA", at positions 505 to 898 of the family's 1533-position model. The record is from RNAcentral.
GUGCCAGCAGCCGCGGUAAUACGUAGGGGGCAAGCGUUGUCCGGAAUCAUUGGGCGUAAAGAGCGUGUAGGUGGACUGGAAGGUCUGGUGUGAAAGCCCGGGGCUCAACCCCGGAGGGUCACUGGAAACCAACAGUCUUGAGUCCGGAAGAGGAGAGUGGAAUUCCUGGUGUAGCGGUGGAAUGCGCAGAUAUCAGGAGGAACACCGAUGGCGAAGGCAGCUCUCUGGUACGUGACUGACACUGAGACGCGAAAGCGUGGGGAGCGAACAGGAUUAGAUACCCUGGUAGUCCACGCCGUAAACGAUGGGCGCUAGGUGUGGGGGGUGUCGACUCCCUCCGUGCCGAAGCUAACGCAUUAAGCGCCCCGCCUGGGGAGUACGGCCGCAAGGCUAAA